AGUGGAAUAUCUGGGUCAAAUGGUGGUUCCAUUCCAGUUUUCUAAGGAAUUUCCAUAAUGAUUUCCAGACUGGCUGUAUCAAUUUGCAGUCCCAACAGCAAU
RNAcentral lists this microRNA precursor (102 nucleotides) under Marmota monax (woodchuck). The record is from RNAcentral. Lineage: Eukaryota; Metazoa; Chordata; Mammalia; Rodentia; Sciuridae.